GGGUAUAACAUCAACUCAAGCCUUGGCAGUGGCAGUCUGGAUGAGGUGCAGCUGGUGGCAGUGGAUGCUGGGCAUCCUCAGGUUACUGGAUAUCUUCAGGAACCAUUAGUGUAGCACUGAAUAAAUUCACCUUCAGUCUGACUCUACCUGCAUUCGAUAAGUGAAAACUUUCUUUGUCUCACGGCCAACUAAUCUGUGCAAACCAAACUGAAGCUCUCAAUUCAGUUGCUGUUCACUGGGUGCUCAUGGCAUCAGUGGGACCGAUGCCAUGGCAGAGAGGACAAGAAGUUUAUGGACAUGACUUGCCCCUAAUAGUAUGUGUACACAGGACAAUGCAACACAGUGCAGAAACAUCUAGGAUCUCUCUGAACAAGCUAAGGCUGUUCAAGAACCUCCCACUCUCAGAGCCCUCGGAGGUUUGCCGCCAGCCUUACUCAGAGGACAUUCCAGACCUGUCACUGCGCAGCUGCUCCUGGCAGCCAGCCCUCCACGCAAAGGCUUUGCCAAGGCACUGCUUCUCUGCACCCCCAAACACUCUGCUGAAACAAUGGUUAAUAGUUUUGCACUUGCACAACUGCUAGAUUUCCUUUUGCCUUAAAAAGGAUUUGUUUACUUCAGUUAUAAAAUGGUGUUGUGUUUUUGGCGUCGCUGGC
Molecule: long non-coding RNA, 653 nt
Filed under: Apteryx owenii (little spotted kiwi)
Lineage: Eukaryota; Metazoa; Chordata; Aves; Apterygiformes; Apterygidae
Description: lncRNA (ENSAOWG00000015938.1)
Source: RNAcentral